UGGGUAGUCCGCACGAGCGCACCUCAUUUUUAGUUGCCAUCAGGUUAGCUGGGCACUCUAAAGAGACUGCCGGUGAUAAGCUGGAGGAAGGCGGGGAUGACGUCAAGUCCUCAUGGCCCUUACGGACUGGGCUACACACGUGCUACAAUGGUGGUGACAGUGGGAAGCAAUUUCGCAAGAAAAAGCAAAUCUCCAAAAGCCAUCUCAGUUCGGAUUGGACUCUGCAACUCGAGUCCAUGAAGUUGGAAUCGCUAGUAAUCGCGGAUCAGCGCGCCGCGGUGAAUACGUUCCCGGGUCUUGUACACACCGCCCGUCACACCAUGGAAGUUGGUUACACCUUAAGGCAAAGCGUAAAACCUUUGACCACGGUACGAUCAGCGACUGGGGUGAAGUCGUAACAAGGUAGCCGUAGGGGAACCUGCGGCUGGAUCACCUCCUUUCU
This 442-nucleotide ribosomal RNA is filed under the name uncultured Alphaproteobacteria bacterium. RNAcentral describes it as "bacterial SSU rRNA". It matches the Rfam family "Bacterial small subunit ribosomal RNA", at positions 1077 to 1533 of the family's 1533-position model. The record is from RNAcentral. Lineage: Bacteria; Pseudomonadati; Pseudomonadota; Alphaproteobacteria.